Long non-coding RNA from Myotis brandtii (Brandt's bat), 1195 nucleotides. RefSeq lists it as uncharacterized. Lineage: Eukaryota; Metazoa; Chordata; Mammalia; Chiroptera; Vespertilionidae. The record is from RefSeq and is a predicted model, not a curated record. The transcript is spliced from 2 exons.
CCCUGGUCCGGGUACAUGCGGGAGGCAACCAAUUUAUGAGAGAUAGAUAUUUUUCUCUCGUUUCUCCCUCUUUGUUCCACUACCUCUAAAAAUCGAUGUAAAAAUAUCCUCAGGUGAGGAUUAACAAAAGAAAAAAAGAUUCAGUGUCAAAAUCAAUGAGCAAAUAUUGAAGAUGAAGCUAUGGGCAUGAGGACUAAUAUUGACCCCUGCCACCACCUGCUGCUGUUAGGGUUUCCCGAGGCUACGUCAGCUGAGGUCUGAAACCCGACUACUCCAGCUUCCCACAAUGGGGCUAGAGCCCACUUUGGUGGUUGUAGCUAGGAGCCAGUUCAAGAAACUUUCAAACUCAAACCAGGCCGCUUUCAUCAGAACGACAGCCAGUGGGUCCGGGUGGUGGUGGUGGGGAAGUUACUCAGCCCCAAGAAGCAGCUUCACUCCUUAGGCAUCUCUGCCCUACCUCUUCCAACCUCCAGGGGGCAUUAAGUGCUCUGUUUCGGAAGAGCAAUAGGGCAGCGCGUCACGACCAGAGACCAGGAAAAGUGAGGCUGUUCUCUAUGAUAAGAGCCUCCGGGGAUGGCACACUCAGGGGUUCUUCUCUUCCCUUCCCAUCCUGUGCUGACCUACUUAGCAGGCACCUAAUCCACGGCCCCCCGGAGGUGUCUAAGACAUCCAGGCAAGAGAAGACGCAGAUGAAUCAAAAGCAGGGUUUAUUUUCCUACCAAACCCCCAAUCCAUGUUCCAGCCAAUGGAUGCAGGGUUAAUCAAGCCCCACAUAGACUCUUAGUAAAAACAAUUAUAAAUUUCUACAAGAAAAAGGUUUUUAAGUUCCUAGGCAUUGAGGAACAGAUGAAAAAAAAAUCACAUAUUGAAUGGUCUGCGCUUUCUUUUAUGUAUUCACACGUUCCCUCCCUGCUGCCUCUUCUGCGAUGAGGUCCUGAUGACAGCUGUGCAGCUGCACUGACAGUCCUCCUCACGCCCCUCUCUGGUUCUCUAACCUCGUAUCCUGGUGUGCUUUCAGCUUAUAAUCUCCAAGCACAGCUGGCAAGAUCUGAAUGAAAGUCUUCAAACCUCGAGUGCCUCCUAUUUGCUGGGCACAGAGUGGGUACUGGGCAGUGAUUCGCUGGUUCAGGGAACGGAAAUGGGGCCACAGAGGCGAGGUUUCCUCCCAAGCAGCAGGCGGGUGUUUGCUGGGGAU